Molecule: ribosomal RNA, 1372 nt
Filed under: uncultured bacterium
Lineage: Bacteria
Description: bacterial SSU rRNA
Rfam family: Bacterial small subunit ribosomal RNA
Source: RNAcentral
GAUGAACGCUGGCGGCGUGCCUAAUACAUGCAAGUCGAGCGAACGGACGAGAAGCUUGCUUCUCUGAUGUUAGCGGCGGACGGGUGAGUAACACGUGGAUAACCUACCUAUAAGACUGGGAUAACUUCGGGAAACCGGAGCUAAUACCGGAUAAUAUUUUGAACCGCAUGGUUCAAAAGUGAAAGACGGUCUUGCUGUCACUUAUAGAUGGAUCCGCGCUGCAUUAGCUAGUUGGUAAGGUAACGGCUUACCAAGGCAACGAUGCAUAGCCGACCUGAGAGGGUGAUCGGCCACACUGGAACUGAGACACGGUCCAGACUCCUACGGGAGGCAGCAGUAGGGAAUCUUCCGCAAUGGGCGAAAGCCUGACGGAGCAACGCCGCGUGAGUGAUGAAGGUCUUCGGAUCGUAAAACUCUGUUAUUAGGGAAGAACAUAUGUGUAAGUAACUGUGCACAUCUUGACGGUACCUAAUCAGAAAGCCACGGCUAACUACGUGCCAGCAGCCGCGGUAAUACGUAGGUGGCAAGCGUUAUCCGGAAUUAUUGGGCGUAAAGCGCGCGUAGGCGGUUUUUUAAGUCUGAUGUGAAAGCCCACGGCUCAACCGUGGAGGGUCAUUGGAAACUGGAAAACUUGAGUGCAGAAGAGGAAAGUGGAAUUCCAUGUGUAGCGGUGAAAUGCGCAGAGGUAUGGAGGAACACCAGUGGCGAAGGCGACUUUCUGGUCUGUAACUGACGCUGAUGUGCGAAAGCGUGGGGAUCAAACAGGAUUAGAUACCCUGGUAGUCCACGCCGUAAACGAUGAGUGCUAAGUGUUAGGGGGUUUCCGCCCCUUAGUGCUGCAGCUAACGCAUUAAGCACUCCGCCUGGGGAGUACGACCGCAAGGUUGAAACUCAAAGGAAUUGACGGGGACCCGCACAAGCGGUGGAGCAUGUGGUUUAAUUCGAAGCAACGCGAAGAACCUUACCAAACCUUGACAUCCUUUGACAACUCUAGAGAUAGAGCCUUCCCCUUCGGGGGACAAAGUGACAGGUGGUGCAUGGUUGUCGUCAGCUCGUGUCGUGAGAUGUUGGGUUAAGUCCCGCAACGAGCGCAACCCUUAAGCUUAGUUGCCAUCAUUAAGUUGGGCACUCUAAGUUGACUGCCGGUGACAAACCGGAGGAAGGUGGGGAUGACGUCAAAUCAUCAUGCCCCUUAUGAUUUGGGCUACACACGUGCUACAAUGGACAAUACAAAGGGCAGCGAAACCGCGAGGUCAAGCAAAUCCCAUAAAGUUGUUCUCAGUUCGGAUUGUAGUCUGCAACUCGACUACAUGAAGCUGGAAUCGCUAGUAAUCGUAGAUCAGCAUGCUACGGUGAAUACGUUCCCGGGUCU